UGGGGAAUUUUGGACAAUGGGCGCAAGCCUGAUCCAGCCAUACCGCGUGAGUGAAGAAGGCCUUCGGGUUGUAAAGCUCUUUCAGACGGAAAGAAACGGUUACGGCUAAUACCCGUGACUAAUGACGGUACCGUAAGAAGAAGCACCGGCUAACUACGUGCCAGCAGCCGCGGUAAUACGUAGGGUGCGAGCGUUAAUCGGAAUUACUGGGCGUAAAGCGUGCGCAGGCGGUUUGGUAAGACAGAUGUGAAAUCCCCGGGCUUAACCUGGGAACUGCAUUUGUGACUGCCAGACUAGAGUGUAGCAGAGGGGGGUAGAAUUCCACGUGUAGCGGUGAAAUGCGUAGAUAUCAAGAGGAACACCUGAGGUGAAGACGGGUUGCUGGGCUGACACUGACGCUGAGGCGCGAAAGCCAGGGGAGCAAACGGGAUUAGAUACCCAUGUAGUCCCUGAGCGGGCUGGCAAGGCGCAU
This 472-nucleotide ribosomal RNA is filed under the name uncultured bacterium. Its description in RNAcentral is "bacterial SSU rRNA". It matches the Rfam family "Bacterial small subunit ribosomal RNA", at positions 355 to 825 of the family's 1533-position model. The record is from RNAcentral.